This is a microRNA precursor of Chrysemys picta bellii (western painted turtle), 91 nucleotides long. The record is from Ensembl. NCBI's taxonomy places the organism in Eukaryota, Metazoa, Chordata, Testudines, Emydidae.
AGUGGCCGCAGCUGUGGUGCAUUGUAGUUGCAUUGCAUGUGUGAGAACAGGUGUGCAAUGCCCCUGCAGUGCAGCCCAGAUGGGGCUUCUU